GAUUCUGGCUCAGAACGAACGUUGGCGGCGUGGAUUAGGCAUGCAAGUCGAGGGAAUGCCCGCAAGGGUGGAACCGGCGUAAGGGGCAGUAAGGCAUGGAUAACUUACCCCUGGGGAUUUGGCAUAGCUCGUAGAAAUACGAGGUAAUUCCAAGCGAUGUGAUUGGGGGGCAUCCUCUGGUCACCAAAGGUCCGCUGUCCUGGGAGAGGUCCAUGUGAUAUUAGCUAGUUGGUGAGGUAACGGCUCACCAAGGCGAAGAUGUCUAGCGGGUGUGAGAGCACGACCCCGCGCCACUGGCACUGAGACACUGGCCAGACACCGUACGGGUGGCUGCAGUCGAGGAUCUUCGGCAAUGAGCGCAAGCUUGACCGUAGUAAACACGAACGGUAGCAUUUAUCCUUGUGAUA
Molecule: ribosomal RNA, 407 nt
Filed under: uncultured bacterium
Lineage: Bacteria
Description: bacterial SSU rRNA
Rfam family: Bacterial small subunit ribosomal RNA
Source: RNAcentral